UCGGCGAGUGCGGCACCGCUCCGCGGUCCCCGGGGGGAUGGACGGCCUGGGCGCCCCUCGCCUCUUGCCCACCAGGGCAGCCCUGGAGCGAAGAAAGCAAUGCGCUCUCUUUGCUCAGCCCAGUGAAGGGGGGGGUUGUGCUGCCAGUGAGGAGCCGAGCAGGUGAGGCUGCAGCCUUGCCAGCAGAGAUCAACAAUAGUCACCUCGGGGGUGAAGCGCAGAGCUUGGGAAGAACCGACGUGGCUCUUCCCAAAGGAUAUGGUCAGUGUAGCACUUCUCAGCCACUGUGCUGGCUUUCUGUCCUCGUGGGGUAGUAAGUAUUACUUUAGCUUUGUCUUCAAAACCCUGGCUUUAAAGAAGCUCAAGUUGGGACCGCUCGCCCGUCUUGCAGAACGUGCCGUGCUUUUUGUGAAUGACCAUCCCCACCUCCUCCCCAGCAAGGCAGGGAGAGCGGCACAUUUCCCGACGUCUGCUUUUCCUCAGAUGCCAAUGAGAAAGCCGUUCAAGGAGUGUACAGCUACUGGGCUAAAAUACGAAGGAGUAGAGAAGGCUACUCGACCAGACAGUCACCUUCCAGAAGGGAGAAGAAAACCCUCGCUGAGGUUCAAAAGACCCAUGGCUAGAACUUGAGAGGAGCCCGUUCCUAGUAAACUGCGCUAUCCUUUUUAUGAUGGGAGACUUAAACUGACCUUAAACCAUCUCCAGCUGUGCUUUAGGAAGUUUAGCCUUAGUCUCAAUGAUGUUAAUUCUAAAAUAUUCCCUUCAUGACUAAUUCAUAUUCUUCCUUGAUAUUUAAUCUAAUUUGCUGCAGGCUAAUCCCUUUAGGUUUUGGCCUGUUGACAAACGGAAAUGACUAGUCCCUGUACUCCUGCUUCUUCUCUCUGUGGAUCUAUGGACACUUAUUAUCUCUUUCAGGUAUUUUUAGUUUCUUCAACAACUCUUAAAGCAUAAAAACAUCUGCUACUCUUCUCCUUCCUAGUUAAGAAGAAAAGAUUCCAGGUGUUCAGAGAUGACUGAAGGAGACACUAUCAGCAAGUUUUUGGUAAAUGCUACAUUCCCCGUACAUCUAUCUGGAUUAAAUUCUUUUGUUUCUAAGUGCUUUUAACUACCACCUCUAGGCUCUUACUGAAAUAUUUCUCCGUGAAGUAUUUUCCUCCUUGCUCUUCUGGGUAAUACAUCCGGGUAUCUUCUUCACUGCUCCUGUUAGCUUUAGUUUAACAGCUAUUAAAUACUUCAUUAAUAUUUUAGGUAACACAUAACAAACAUAAGCCUAAUGCUUAAUAUGACGCUUUCAAAUGGCAGUAGGUUUGGUUUUGAUCCUGGACUAUAAUAUUCCACAGAUCUGCUACAGAGAGUUUCUCAGUGAUUAUACAUGGAAAUUUACUCAACAAAAACUGGUAUGCUAUGGCCACCAAGUAUCUGUUGCCUAAGAAGACAAUAUCUCUUGGUCAUCACAGAGCAAGGUUUGCAUUCGUUUCUUUUGUUUGGAAAAUACUCUGAAAAUUCAGACUGAUGAAUGAUGGCUCAGUAGUUUUUGCAGCAAGUGGGAUGAUAGUCCAAGUUCCAGCCCAAGUUUUCAUAGGCAGCCUUGGGGAGCUAGUUUACCCAACCUGCAUCUCAGUUUCGCUUCCAUAAACUGAAGAUAAUGUUCCUUUCCCACCUGGGAAAUGCACUGAUACUAGUGAGUUAUUUGGAUGCUAUAAAAGAAGACCUAGGCAAAGCUUGUGCACAGUCAAAUUAUAAAAGUCCUAACAGAUAAACAAAAUAAAUCAGAUUUAAUAUUCUUUGGCUUUUGUUUACCUACCUUACACACUGGAAUUUCCCUGGACUCACUGUUAUUCCCUUGUGCUGUCUUCAUAACUGCAGCCUUGAGCUGGCCAGAUCACUUAAACUCUGGCAAAGUUUUUCCAUGAGCUGCCUCAUUGUGGUAGCUGGUUUAGGCACCCCAGCCACAGCAGUGUCUGGAACAAACAAAAGAGUUCCUUGGAAUAUGUUUUUCCUUUCGGUUUGGAGUGGCAUGCACUAAGCAACAUAUAAUCAAAUGCAACAAAACUUUUAACCUGUUUUGGCUACAUUUUAAAUAAAUCAUUUGGAGACUAAAAUGGAGAAUGAGAAACUUCAUCUCAGGCUGAUUUUUGUAAUAAAAACCAUUCUGCCUUACAAAAGGAGAAAAGGAGAGGCAUUCCCACCUGCUGCAUAUGGUGGCUGCCUGUGUCCUCUAAAGCAAUGAUCCAUCCCACAGGCCAAACUUUUCCAAUUUUGGUCUUGCAAACACCACCUACACAAAAGUUCCCAGUGCUGUACCGUGUCUUUUUUAAAUGAAAAAUUGUUAAUUGAAGUAUGUUAAUGCUGCAGGGAUGUAUGCGAAGCCAUCAGGGAAAACAGAAAUCGUACAAGCUGAGCUUAAUUUCUAAGCCCUUGCUGCACAGAAUUACUUAAACACAUGACUCCAAGGUUUUUCACAUAACUGUGGAGCAUUCAAGCAAUAUAAGGCAAGUACAGAAAGUAAUGGACACAUUGCUCAUGCCCUGCUCAGUCCCAGUGAGUGUGCACAGGGAGUGUGAGGGCAUUCCUGUGAAUACGUGUGCGCUGUGAAUGUAUAGGUCUGCCAGGCAGAAUAUCUGACACUUGCAAAAUUGUGCUCAUGUAUGCCAAAUGGCUGUAUCACAGGGCUUGAAAUCCCAGGUAAAAUGAGCAGUUCCUCAGAGUCUUCCCAGUUUUUUUGUGGGAGAAGAAAUAAUAUUUGGGGAAAAAUGUGCAUAUAUCAAUCCCUGUUAUCAAAUAUUUUAUUUUGAUUUCUUCAACACCCUGGGCAGCAACCAACUCUAAGUUACACUGAACUGGAUGGAAUUACUCACAUAUUGGCAUGUAAAUAGGUCUCUGCAGAAUUCUGAGCCUGCUUUAUGAUUAAACUUUACUGCCAGUGGCAAUAAAGAUGUAAUUAGCAUUAUUGUAAUAAUGGCAUCAUCUUUUGUCUUGUUUUUUCCCAGUCAGGAAUUAGAAAAAGGAAAUAAAAUGGUGUCAGUCUGCAUGGGAAGAAUGUUGGACCUGCAGAGUUAUACAGAGCACUGCACGCAUCUUGCUAGUGCAAACAAGAGCAACUCACCAUAAAAUUAAGGGAACAAACACUAUCCACUCAACAUCAUAGAACACAAUGUUGUUCUUUAUUAUAUUAUUUAAAAGGGGCAGAUUUACUCAGUCAUAAAUAAAUAAUUCAGAAGGUGUAAGAAGGCACAGCCAAUUAGCUGCAGUAAUUUGCAUUUUUAUGCUCCUUCAUUAGUUUUCGAAGGUUCUUCUCUCCUAUUAUAGCAAUGCAAAUGCCAUCUUCCAAAAGGUGAAUAGCCAACCUGUUUUUUGUUUGCAUGGUAAUGAAGCCUUUUCAAUUAUUGAAAGACCAAACAAUUUAAUAAUUCUUAAGACAAAUUUUUGUUGCUAUAAUAUCUCUUCCUUGUGGUUUUUUUUUCAAGAAACAUGCUUUUAUAAUGUAAUUUAUUUUAACCUGAAGCAGGGAGUUUAUCAGGUGCCUGAUCUUCUGAGGUUCUUAAAAUCAUGCCUAACUUUAAUCAUGUGAGUAAAUCUCAAAGCAAAGUAUUAAAAUCCUUUCUUAAUUUAGCAGCUGACAAAUAAUUCAGUGUAUGAUGUCUUUGUUUGCAGCAUAGAGUCUCUUUAUCCUUUGCGCAGGCAUGAAUUGAGAAGGGUUCAAUAUAUGAAUUUGACUGUUAGGGGAACUGCCCUUCCUUAUGCCCAUGCCCCAGAUAUCUGCUGGCGCAAGUACCCUCAAAAGCUUCCUGCAGCCUGCCCCAGGGAUUUCCCUUUCGGCCAUUACUAUCUUUGGGCACAGUCUUGCUAAAGUUGACGUCUUUAGCUUCUGAGAAAUACUCCUGAGGCCAGCGAGGUUAAAGUCUUCCUGCAGGCAUAACUGAAGUCCUGGUCACCAGAGUGCUGCAGGGCAACUGUGCUUGCUUGGUCUCUGCCUUCCCAUGCAGGGCACCAGCAAAUCCCACUGGCUUCCCAGAGAGCUGCUCCUAACCUGCAGCUGGCCUGACACGUACUUAUUUUUCCAUUUUUACUCUGGUAUUUUCCUUUCCAAAUGCUUUCCAUGUGAGGACAUUUCAUUUUAUUUUUAUAAUUAUUUUAUUUUUAAUACAGCCCCUCAUUCCAGAUGUAGAUAGUACACACUCAAACACAUUUAAAAGCUAAGUAAUGCUGAGGCUGCAUCUUUAUAGAAAUGUGUCAGAGGCAGAGGGUAAGCAGGAGAACUAUACAGAUAUUUCAGAGGGUCAGUGGGUACUAAUCUAAAAAAAAUAAAAAAGGGGGCAAAAAGAUUAAAACCUGGAGAAUGAAACAAAGAUAUGGUAUGUUUUCUGAGGCAACCUCUGAAGGGACUCGGGUGUUUAGAUUAACAUGAUUGCUAUCAGUUGGCUGAAGAAGACAAGAGACCUGUCCUUUUCCAUUUACAUCAGCAGUAUGCUCGUCUUUUGGGACAUUGAUCUUUCUAGGGCAACAUGCAGCAGUGAUUCCUCCCAAGGAACAUGGCACCACUCCCCAGCCCACUGAAAUCCACUCCAUCCUGUUCCCUAGUCACUUCAGUUUGGUUUAUUUUUAGCAGAGGUGUUGUUCACAAACUGCACAGAUCAUCUUGGAAAUUUUUGCUGGCAAAGAACAUACAAGAAGGCACAGUUUUUGUCAUUUCACUGAUAGUGCAGACAGCAUACCUGUAACACAGACCAAAUGACCGACUGUACAAGAAGCAAGGUGUGUUGUAUUUCAGACUUUAAACCUUAAGGCCAGAUCACUCCUGGUAAACAACUGAGAAGAAGUUAAGAUACUAAAGUUUUUCAGCCUCCAUCCCUUUGCAUGAUGAACCCAACGCAGCCUUCUAGAGAAAAAAAAGGAGAGUGGGUCAAAUGAGAACGAAAAGCAAAGUCAAUCAAAGCAAUUUUUGCCACUGCAGUGAUACUUCAGAUCACUGUUGAGUAAUUCAAAUAACUGAUUAAUUAAACAAAAAGGCCACAGAAAACUCACUUCUGUUGAGAGAGAGAUCAAGGUUCUCCCGUGAUUACCACACUCUUGGUGAGCAGCAGCAUAGGAGAUGCCCUCACAUGGACAUACAGCCCUUAAGUGGGGUUCUAAAGGGACAAGAGCAGCCCUUUUCCUCUUAUUUCUCAUCAUCACUAACAGUCACACGCCUGGACUCCUUUCCUGAAGCUCUUGCAUAAUUCAAGGCUAUAGCUGGAUGUUUUUCAGAUGUGUAGCUUUUCUUUUUUUGUCAGUUUACUGAAGUAAACUGUAAUUAAGAAAAAGUAAUACUAACAAUAAAAGCCCCUUCUGUGUUUCUCUUAAUAAUUUUAUUUCUUUGUUUGGAAGGAGCACCAGGGGACAACACCUUCAGUUUUUUAAAUGAGUUCUGUUUUUUUUUU
This is a non-coding RNA of Cyanistes caeruleus (blue tit), 5420 nucleotides long. The record is from RefSeq and is a predicted model, not a curated record. NCBI's taxonomy places the organism in Eukaryota, Metazoa, Chordata, Aves, Passeriformes, Paridae.